UACGGAGGAUGCGAGCGUUAUCCGGAUUUAUUGGGUUUAAAGGGUGCGCAGGCGGCGAGUUAAGUCAGCGGUAAAAUUUCGGGGCUCAACCCCGACAAGCCGUUGAAACUGGCUUGCUAGAGUGGGCGAGAAGUAUGCGGAAUGCGUGGUGUAGCGGUGAAAUGCAUAGAUAUCACGCAGAACCCCGAUUGCGAAGGCAGCCUUCCGGCGCCCUACUGACGCUGAGGCACGAAAGUGCGGGGAUCGAACAGG
Molecule: ribosomal RNA, 252 nt
Filed under: uncultured Bacteroidales bacterium
Lineage: Bacteria; Pseudomonadati; Bacteroidota; Bacteroidia; Bacteroidales
Description: partial 16S ribosomal RNA
Rfam family: Bacterial small subunit ribosomal RNA
Source: RNAcentral